CUUACACAUGCAAGNNNNAACGAUGAACAAGAGCUUGCUCUUGGAAUUAGUGGCGCACGGGUGAGUAAUAUAUAGCUAACCUGCCCUUUAGUGGGGGACAACAGUUGGAAACGACUGCUAAUACCCCAUACUCCUUCUUACCAUAAGGUAAGUCGGGAAAGAUUUAUUGCUAAAGGAUGGGGCUGUACGGUAUCAGUUUGUUGGUGAGGUAACGGCUCACCAAGACUAUGACGCCUAGCUGGUCUGAGAGGAUGAUCAGCCACACUGGAACUGAGACACGGUCCAGACUCCUACGGGAGGCAGCAGUGGGGAAUAUUGCACAAUGGGGGCAACCCUGAUGCAGCAAUGCCGCGUGGGUGAAGAAGGUUUUCGGAUUGUAAAGCCCUUUUCUGCGAGAAGAGAGAGGACGGUAUCGCAGGAAUAAGUCCCGGCUAACUACGUGCCAGCAGCCGCGGUAAAACGUAGGGGGCGAGCGUUAUCCGGAAUUUAUUGGGCGUAAAGCGCAUGCCAGGCGGUUAUGGUAAGNAUAGACGUGAAAGCUUCCGGCUUAACUGGGAAAAGGUCGUUUGGGACUGNCCGAACNUUGAAUGGANGUAAAAGAAAAGGGGAA
Molecule: ribosomal RNA, 610 nt
Filed under: uncultured bacterium
Lineage: Bacteria
Description: bacterial SSU rRNA
Rfam family: Bacterial small subunit ribosomal RNA
Source: RNAcentral